UGAGGUAAAGCCCCGCGGUUCGGUAGGCCCCGGCCCCUGCGCGGAGGGACAGCCCAGCGAGGAGGCUGCGGCAGGGACUGGGGAGUGCGGCCAGGGCGAACUAGUGGGGUUACUGGGGGUCGGCGGCCUGGGAACGGUCCCUCAGGCGGGAGGGGGAUGGAGGCCGCGGGGGGCUGUUUGACAGCGGCGGUGCCGGAGGAGCAGCUGGGGGAACGGCUGGGAGAGGUCCCUGUGGAGGGUCUUCGGGCCCGGCCAGUGUCUGUGUCAGCGUCGGGUCCCCGAGGGAAGCGGGGUCCCUGCCUGCCGUUGUGCGGGGCAGGGUGCAGGAGCAGUAAGUGCCCAGGGCUGUGUCCCGUGUUUUAUGUGUUCGUGCCUGUUACGUUCCCACUCACGCUGUCCUUAGCAGUGGCCUUUGGGGUGUGGCUGGAUGGAGGGGAUACAUGAUGCCCCACCUCCCCCCAGCCACCCUCCAGCCCUGGGUGGCUCUUGGCCCUGCCAGUGGAGCAGAGCUUUCUUCCAAGGCUGUGUGACAGUCCCCCAGUCCGGCAGCAUGUCACUGGGCUUCCCUCCUGGCUCUUUUCCUCGCAGCUGGAAUGGGCUGGACUUCUCCUCCUGUGGCCUGUGGGAGGAAGCUGUCAUCUGCUAUUCGAAAGCCAUGAACUGGAUCCCCAGAGGGUAAAGGGUCCCCAGAGGGCUAGGGAUACACCAGGCUGGGAGCUGGAGAAGGGAGGCAGUAUCAUUCAGGUUGGCUCUUAUGUUGGCAUCUGGCUUCAGGUUGCUGUUAACCUCUUGCCAGGCUGAUCCUGGGUAGUUUGAGCAGGGAUGGGCUAGACCAGCAUGGGCUGAGGGUUGUCCGUGGUGCAGGCAGAGCUGUAUGAGCAGCGGGCAGAGGCCUUCCUCCAGCUCUGUGACUUCCAGUCAGCCAUGCUGAACUUCAGGAAGGUGCUCACGCUGGUGCCUGCACAGGAGCAGCCGUGCCUGGCUCUCCUGGCCCUUGUCCUUGACCUGCAGGUCAGCCACCGCUCCCCUCCUCCUGUCUGCAGCCUCAGCCUGUGGCCAAGCUGACAGGGCUUCUCUGCUUGACCAGGAGCUCUACUGCAAGGCCCUCGAGGCCUUCACACAGGCAGCUGAGCUGCAGCCGAGCCGCAGGGUGUUUUGGCAGAGGAGGUAAAGCCAGGGCAGUGCUAGGCUGUCCAGCUGGGCUGGCCCUGCUAUGGGCUGCUUCCAGCCUUGCCUGUCUCCUCUUGCAGCAUCAUGUGUCUUGUGGCUCUCAACAAGUUCCCAGAGUGUCUCUGGAUACUCAACAGAAACCUGGAGGAGGACACGAGGAACCCUGAUCUAUAUGUGCUCCGUGCCUCCUUUUAUGAACGUUUUGGGCAGGUAUGGCUGCUCCGGUCCCCGAGGGGCCCUGCUGCCCCUCCUGGAGUCUGGGGAUGCAGCGGGAAGUGCCACGCUCUGAGGGUAUCUGGCCUCCCUGGGCAGCUGGCCCUGUGUCACCAGGACAUCCGACGGGCCCUGGAGCUGGAGCUGUAGCAUGGAGCCACCCAGGCCCUGGGGCAGAGGCUGCUGACAGGAGGCCAGGAGGCCAAGGCCAAGGUGGUGUCCAAGGCCCUGUGCAGGGACCUGCGCGGUGCCCGGCUCAAGACCAGCUUUGCCAUAGAGAAUGACCCCUUGGCUGCUGAAUUCUUCACCCUCAGGUAGCGAGAGUGUCACCGCAGCUGGUUGGCCCCAUUGGCCUCUGAGCUCUCCUGUCUCUGUGCCUGUGUCACAGGGGAACCCCCCUCCAACAGCUCAAGGACUUCAGUGUAGCCCGUGAGGACUUAGCCAGGGUGAGGGACCUGGGUGCCCCAGAGGCCCAGGCUCGGCAGCUGGCACUCACCUACAAUGACUGCUGUGAACUGCUACAUCUGGGCUGAUUCGAUGAGGCUGUGAUGCUCCUUGGUGAGGCUCUGUGGGAUGAGAGGAGGGAGAAGGGGCUCUGUGUCAACAGAGGAGGCAGGCAGCUGGGCUGGGGAUUGCAGCGGGGUCCCCGGGGUGAGGGCUGGGGUGUCAGACAGCAGCAUCUGCACUUGGGCAUUGAGCGUGUGCAGGGGAAGGCUGUGUGCUGGGGUCCUGUGUUAGGGACCAGUGACUGAAAUGGUCAGUGGGGCUCCCGGGUUGUCCCUUGGUCCUGACCCUGCUUCACAGCUGUGCCUGCCUGGACCAAUUCAGCAGUGGGGAGAGGUACCAGGAGCCUGGAUUUACCACUGGUGGUUUGGUUCCCUCCCUGCAUGGCCUGUCCUGGGGCUGUGGCUGGGAAUGGCUGCUCUGUUCCAGACCGGGCUGCGUCUCUUGCCCAGUGGAGCUCAGAGCUUUUGGCUAAUGAUGCUGAAAUCUUUGUGGCUGGGGUGGCUGGACAUGCGCCGUGCGUGUUUCCCACUGGCACGGAGAGCUCCAGACAAAGCCCGGGGGUGGCAGCCAGCCCCCAGCAGCUCUCAUUUAACCGAGACGCUGACGCUGCCUCCCUGCAGACUGCUUCCUUUGCCUGAGGGAGCUGGCCUACGCGCUAGCGGAUUACCAGCAGGCGCUGGAUCUGAGCCCGCCUUGUGCGGAGAUGGGUUGCAGCGGCACUGCAUGAGCUGGGACAGCAGGACUUGGUGGCGAGGUGAGCGGGUGGGCUGGUGCGGUCUGCCCCAGGGCUGGUGACGAGCCAGGCUGCAGAGUGUGCUCACUCCUGUCCCCUCGCAGGUAGUACUGGCAGGCAGAAGCUCAAUUCUCCAUGGCCAUUGAGCACAACCCCCAGAAACCGCUGUACUACCUGUGCUGGGCCAGCGCCCACCUGUGCCUGAGGAGGGUGGAAAGUGCGAGGGAGGAUGCUGCCCUAAGUCAGCAUCUGUGGCUCAACCCUGCGGAUGGCAAGGUACAGCCCUGCGCUGCUCCCUGAUGCUCUCUUCGGGUUGUGGGCGAUGUUCUCAGCCUGUUGCCUUGACUGCAGUCUCUGUGCCUACCCCUCAUGCAGUUUGAGGCAAGCCUGGUAUUUCUGUUCUGCAUUGGGAGCCAGCAGCUGAUCAAGGAUCAGGGACUGGAGUCAGGGGUCCUGCCAGGGUGUGGGUCCAAGCCAAGCAGUGAGGGUUAUAGCCUGGCUCUUGGAACAACUUUGUGCCAGAGCCACUGGGCAGGUCUCUUUCCUCCUUAUUUUCCAGUUUCUUCAACCCCAGUUCAGGACAGAAGCCCCCCUGUGUCUGGCUGUGAUAAGGGGAACAUGUUGCCACAUGGCCAUCACCCAGCAUGGCACCACUCGGGGCAGCGGCAUGGCUUGAUCGAUCUGGGUUGUGUUUGAGGUGAAACCCAGGUUCCCUGUUGGGGCAGGUCCUGGUGGGGCUGGCGGGGCCUUUGCUGGUGGCACAAGGUGGGUGUUUAGCUGCGGCAGUGGAAACCCCGUGGCUCAGUAAGUGCUGAGAACUCACUGUGGGGAAGAGUUUUUCCAUGGAGGAGAUCCAGGUCUCACCUUGUCACCACUGCAGAUCCUUUCCCUCAUAAGCUACCUCUUUCCAAGAAAGACUGUCUGUGCUGUCCUGAGGAGCAAAACUGGAUGCCUUGCCCAAGAAUCCUUGGAGAAAACAGCUCAGAGCCCCCCUGAACUCACCAUUUUGGCUGAUGUUGCCUGGUGCGACUGCAGCAAUAGGUCCCCUGUUGUGACACUCCCCGGAAGCUGAACGGAUGCUGGCCCGCCCAGCCAAAGCCUGCAAGGUCUGACCAGCAGAAGGAUGUACGAGAGGCUCAGCAGCUCAUAGCACCAACUCUCAGCCUGCUGUAGAAAUCAUCACUGAAUAAAAGGAAUUUUCAAAACCAUUAGUGGCACCAUGGGCUA
Molecule: long non-coding RNA, 3850 nt
Organism: Harpia harpyja (harpy eagle)
Lineage: Eukaryota; Metazoa; Chordata; Aves; Accipitriformes; Accipitridae
Exons: 2
Source: RefSeq, a predicted model, not a curated record